Helianthus annuus (common sunflower) is the source of this 616-nucleotide long non-coding RNA. RefSeq lists it as uncharacterized. The record is from RefSeq and is a predicted model, not a curated record. NCBI's taxonomy places the organism in Eukaryota, Viridiplantae, Streptophyta, Magnoliopsida, Asterales, Asteraceae. The transcript is spliced from 2 exons.
CAAGGAGACCGAGAUGGUGAUGUGACGCCUACAUAACCCUCAUGGGGAUGAGCCUCCCCGUACCCACUGGUCUAAGUUACCGGUAUAUGUAGUGUGGCAAAUUCCUACAUAACAAACCCCUAAACCUUUGAAGAUCACAUAAACAAUGUGGAAGGACACAAUGUGGAAGGACAAGAGCCCCGGAGUUAAGAUUCUCUGGGUAUGGACCAUCGGAACUGCCGCCGUGCUUGUUGCAAAUGUAGCCACAAGUAGAGUAAGUGACAUGAACAAGAUCAUCAAUGUCCCUGAAGAAUCUUCGUCUCCUCCUGUUGAUCAACAAACAACGGACUCCAUCAUAACUGGUACGGUUCUAGAUUCAAGCUUAGAGAAAGAAAACUGACAAGCUAAGUUUUUUUUUUAAAGAUUUUGUAUGUUGAAGAGUUUUAUAUUUUGGAAUUUGAUUGUUGAAUUGGAAUAUGGGUUGGAUCUAUGCAUCAUGUGUGAUUGUGUAGUCUUUUGUUUUGUUAUGAUCUGGGUGCAUGUCAGGUGUUCGAUGAAAUGUCUGAGAGAGGGUUAUAUGUAUGUAUGUAUUAGUCAGGGUAACAAUAUUGUUUGAUGAAUUAUGUGUUUUGACUUU